Molecule: ribosomal RNA, 253 nt
Filed under: uncultured bacterium
Lineage: Bacteria
Description: partial 16S ribosomal RNA
Rfam family: Bacterial small subunit ribosomal RNA
Source: RNAcentral
UACAGAGGGUGCGAGCGUUGUCCGGAAUCACUGGGCGUAAAGGGCGCGUAGGUGGCGACCCAAGUCGAUGGUGAAAGCUCGCCGCUCAACGGCGAGUCGGCCACCGAUACUGGGUUGCUGGAGCACUGUAGAGGCAGGCGGAAUUCCGGGUGUAGCGGUGGAAUGCGUAGAGAUCCGGAAGAACACCGGUGGCGAAGGCGGCCUGCUGGGACAGUGCUGACGCUGAGGCGCGACAGCGUGGGGAGCAAACAGG